RNAcentral lists this ribosomal RNA (477 nucleotides) under uncultured bacterium. Its description in RNAcentral is "partial 16S ribosomal RNA". It matches the Rfam family "Bacterial small subunit ribosomal RNA", at positions 28 to 523 of the family's 1533-position model. The record is from RNAcentral.
GACGAACGCUGGCGGCGUGCUUAACACAUGCAAGUCGAACGGAGAUAAUAGUAAUAUUAUCUUAGUGGCGGACGGGUGAGUAACGCGUGGGCAACUUGCCUCAGACUGGGGGAUAACACAGGGAAACUUGUGCUAAUACCGCAUAACUUCAUCGUAGGACAUCCUAUGAUGAUCAAAGGAGUAAUCCGGUUUGAGAUGGGCCCGCGUCCGAUUAGCUAGUUGGCGGUGUAAUGGACCACCAAGGCGACGAUCGGUAGCCGAACUGAGAGGUUGAUCGGCCACAUUGGGACUGAGACACGGCCCAGACUCCUACGGGAGGCAGCAGUGGGGAAUAUUGCACAAUGGGGGAAACCCUGAUGCAGCAACGCCGCGUGAAGGAUGAAGGUUUUCGGAUUGUAAACUUCUUUGAUUGGGGACGAAUAAUGACGGUACCCAAAAAACAAGCCACGGCUAACUACGUGCCAGCAGCAGCCGCGG